Molecule: ribosomal RNA, 301 nt
Filed under: uncultured bacterium
Lineage: Bacteria
Description: partial 16S ribosomal RNA
Rfam family: Bacterial small subunit ribosomal RNA
Source: RNAcentral
CAGCAGCCGCGGUAAUACGUAGGGUGCGAGCGCUAAUCGGAAUUACUGGGCGUAAAGCGUGCGCAGGCGGUUUUGUAAGACAGGCGUGAAAUCCCCGGGCUCAACCUGGGAAUGGCGCUUGUGACUGCAAAGCUAGAGUGCGGCAGAGGGGGAUGGAAUUCCGCGUGUAGCAGUGAAAUGCGUAGAUAUGCGGAGGAACACCGAUGGCGAAGGCAAUCCCCUGGGCCUGCACUGACGCUCAUGCACGAAAGCGUGGGGAGCAAACAGGAUUAGAGACCCCUGUAGUCCCUGUCUCUUAUAC